UCUCCGUAGGUGAACCUGCGGAGGGAUCACUACAGGCUUGUACAAGCUCUGAAACCACUGAUUAUCUACCUGAUGCUGCUUCGGCGGGGGGACCCAGGGCGGGGCCGUGGCCGCAAGGCGCCCGCCGAAGACCCCUAAUCUCCGUCGUCUUGAGAAUCUCUGAGUAAUUAGAUUAAAAAAUAAUAACUUUCAACAACGGAUCUCUUGGCUCUU
This 213-nucleotide unclassified non-coding RNA is filed under the name plant metagenome. RNAcentral describes it as "partial contains small subunit ribosomal RNA, internal transcribed spacer 1, and 5.8S ribosomal RNA". The record is from RNAcentral.